GACGAACGCUGGCGGCGUGCCUAAUACAUGCCAGUUGAGCGCUGAAGGUUGGUACUUGUACCAACUGGAUGAGCAGCGAACGGGUGAGUAACGCGUGGGGAAUCUGCCUUUGAGCGGGGGACAACAUUUGGAAACGAAUGCUAAUACCGCAUAAAAACUUUAAACACAAGUUUUAAGUUUGAAAGAUGCAAUUGCAUCACUCAAAGAUGAUCCCGCGUUGUAUUAGCUAGUUGGUGAGGUAAAGGCUCACCAAGGCGAUGAUACAUAGCCGACCUGAGAGGGUGAGCGGCCACAUUGGGACUGAGACACGGCCCAAACUCCUACGGGAGGCAGCAGUAGGGAAUCUUCGGCAAUGGACGAAAGUCUGACCGAGCAACGCCGCGUGAGUGAAGAAGGGUUUCGGAUCGUAAAACUCUGUUGGUAGAGAAGAACGUUGGUGAGAGUGGAAAGCUCAUCAAGUGACGGUAACUACCCAGAAAGGGACGGCUAACUACGUG
This 497-nucleotide ribosomal RNA is filed under the name uncultured bacterium. RNAcentral's name for it is "partial 16S ribosomal RNA". It matches the Rfam family "Bacterial small subunit ribosomal RNA", at positions 28 to 507 of the family's 1533-position model. The record is from RNAcentral.